Molecule: ribosomal RNA, 117 nt
Filed under: Amphilophus citrinellus (Midas cichlid)
Lineage: Eukaryota; Metazoa; Chordata; Actinopteri; Cichliformes; Cichlidae
Source: RNAcentral
GUUUGGCCAUACCACCCUGAACAUGCAUGAUUUCAUCCAAUCUSGAAAUCUAACCAGGGUAGGGUCUGGUUAGUACUUAAAUGGGAGACAGUCUGGGAAUACCAGGUGCUAUGAGCU